ACAGGGAUUGCCCCAGUAACGGCGAGUGAAGCGGCAACAGCUCAAAUUUGAAAUCUGGCCCCAGGCCCGAGUUGUAAUUUGCAGAGGAUGCUUUUGGCGCGGUGCCUUCCGAGUUCCCUGGAACGGGACGCCAUAGAGGGUGAGAGCCCCGUACGGUUGGACACCAAGCCUUUGUAAAGCUCCUUCGACGAGUCGAGUAGUUUGGGAAUGCUGCUCUAAAUGGGAGGUAUAUUUCUUCUAAAGCUAAAUAUAGGCCAGAGACCGAUAGCGCACAAGUAGAGUGAUCGAAAGAUGAAAAGCACUUUGAAAAGAGGGUUAAACAGCACGUGAAAUUGUUGAAAGGGAAGCGCUUGUGACCAGACUUGCGUCCGGUGAAUCACCCAGCUCUCGCGGCUGGGGCACUUUGCCGGCACAGGCCAGCAUCAGCUCGCUGUCGGGGACAAAAGCUUCGGGAACGUAGCUCUCUUCGGGGAGUGUUAUAGCCCGUUGCAUAAUACCCUUCGGUGGGCUGAGGUACGCGCUCCGCAAGGAUGCUGGCGUAAUGGUCAUCAGCGACCCGUCUUGAAACACGGACCAAGGAGUCAACCUUAUGUGCGAGUGUUUGGGUGUUAAACCCCUACGCGUAAUGAAAGUGAACGCAGGUGAGAGCUUCGGCGCAUCAUCGACCGAUCCUGAUGUUCUCGGACGGAUUUGAGUAAGAGCAUAUAGGGUUGGACCCGAAAGAAGGUGAACUAUGCGUGUAUAGGGUGAAGCCAGAGGAAACUCUGGUGGAGGCUCGCAGCGGUUCUGACGUGCAAAUCGAUCGUCAAAUAUGCGCAUGGGGGCGAAAGACUAAUCGAACCUUCUAGUAGCUGGUUUCCGCCGAAGUUUCCCUCAGGAUAGCAGUGUUGAACUCAGUUUUAUGAGGUAAAGCGAAUGAUUAGGGACUCGGGGGCGCUAUAUUGCCUUCAUCCAUUCUCAAACUUUAAAUAUGUAAGAAGCUCUUGUUACUUAAUUGAACGUGGGCAUUCGAAUGUAUCAACACUAGUGGGCCAUUUUUGGUAAGCAGAACUGGCGAUGCGGGAUGAACCGAACGCGAGGUUAAGGUGCCAGAGUAGACGCUCAUCAGACACCACAAAAGGUGUUAGUACAUCUUGACAGCAGGACGGUGGCCAUGGAAGUCGGAAUCCGCUAAGGACUGUGUAACAACUCACCUGCCGAAUGUACUAGCCCUGAAAAUGGAUGGCGCUCAAGCGUCUCACCCAUACCUCGCCCUCAGUGUAGAAACGAUGCGCUGAGGAGUAGGCGGACGUGGAGGUCAGUGACGAAGCCUA
This 1313-nucleotide ribosomal RNA is filed under the name Colletotrichum circinans. Its description in RNAcentral is "LSU rRNA". It matches the Rfam family "Eukaryotic large subunit ribosomal RNA", at positions 68 to 1412 of the family's 3401-position model. RNAcentral also lists the same sequence under 1 other name. The record is from RNAcentral. Lineage: Eukaryota; Fungi; Ascomycota; Sordariomycetes; Glomerellales; Glomerellaceae.